UCUUGUUUAGCUUAAAAGGAAAAAGCAACGAUCUUCUAAAUCGUUUAUUGUAGGUUCAAAUCCUAUAACAAGUAA
Non-coding RNA from Coemansia sp. RSA 1200, 75 nucleotides. The record is from the annotation of a GenBank genome assembly. NCBI's taxonomy places the organism in Eukaryota, Fungi, Kickxellomycota, Kickxellomycetes, Kickxellales, Kickxellaceae.